RNAcentral lists this ribosomal RNA (253 nucleotides) under uncultured prokaryote. RNAcentral's name for it is "partial 16S ribosomal RNA". It matches the Rfam family "Bacterial small subunit ribosomal RNA", at positions 524 to 776 of the family's 1533-position model. The record is from RNAcentral.
UACAGAGGUCUCAAGCGUUGUUCGGAUUCAUUGGGCGUAAAGGGUGUGUAGGUGGCGCGCUAAGUCGGGUGUGAAAUUUCGGAGCUUAACUCCGAAACUGCAUUCGAUACUGGCGUGCUUGAGUGCGGCAGAGGGGGAUGGAAUUCCGCGUGUAGCAGUGAAAUGCGUAGAUAUGCGGAGGAACACCGAUGGCGAAGGCAAUCCCCUGGGCCUGCACUGACGCUCAUGCACGAAAGCGUGGGGAGCAAACAGG